AAUGUACCUUCGAGCAGGUCUUGUUUCAUUAUCUGUGGUUGUAGUGUCCAACUAUUCGAAAAUCAAAAGAAAAAGGAAAAGGUCGAACAAGUUAGGUACACUUUCUAGAAAGAUACUUUUCAUACCGCCCUCGCUAGCAUAGCUCGAAGAAAUUGGUGGAAUGCAGGAGAUCCAGAAGAUCAUCCGAUUGCACAGUUAUGUUAAAGCUUAAAGCUCAGCUUGGGAAUGCAAUAGGUACAGGCGAAUAGACUUUAUUCAUGUGAAAUCAUUCCCCUGCAUAGUUUCACUUACGGCACACGUAUAUAUAGAAUUUCGUGAUAGCAAUCGCAGAGUGAAUGGUGAAGACACGUGGAGUUACAUAACUUCCAAUUUUUCGCUAUUAUCCAAUCAUCCACUGUUCAUUUGGAUUAAUAAACCCGAAGAGUGGCGUUAGCUGAACUACCCGAGGGAAAAGUGCAAAUAAAGUGAAAUUCUUGAAAGAAGCAAAGGGAUAGGAGUACUGGAAAAUCUUAAUACAGCCAAGCCGGCCAACCAAUCUACGGUAUCAACUACUAAAACAUCAAAGCUGACCGUUUGGGAGUUAGUGCAGUGCACAUCCACGGCGGCAAAGUGAAGGCUAAACCGUUGACGUUGGGCUAGCUCAAUAUCGGAAAUCAUUUACGGCUCGUGA
Molecule: long non-coding RNA, 670 nt
Organism: Drosophila miranda
Lineage: Eukaryota; Metazoa; Arthropoda; Insecta; Diptera; Drosophilidae
Exons: 2
Source: RefSeq, a predicted model, not a curated record